UCAGGAUCACGAGCGCCCUUGUGUUCUUAGAACCCAGGCCCCCCAGGCUUCCAAAUGCGUACUCACCCCCGCCAUUGGUAUUAAGAAGGCCCCUUUGUGUGACUAAAUUUGGCAAGAAUAUGGAUCCGAGCCAGGCUUUCCACGUGUGCUCCCAGCUCCCAGCUGAGAAGGCCAAGGGUUCUCUUCCGGGGCCUGUGUAAAACCCAUUAGGAGAAUGCAACUCAAGUUUACUCAUCCAGACUGAAUAUGUCACAUUAGAGCUUUCUUGACUCAAGAGAGUUCAAAAUUAAGCAGGCGAGGAGAAACUGCUUCUGUCACAUGCUGUAUUACAAUCUCUUUCUUGCUAGUCUUCCAAACUAGAAGAUUUCAAGACCAGUUCUGUCAAAUGGCAAAGACCCACCCUUGCAAGGUGGUGGUGGUGCUGUUGAUGUGCUGUGCCUCUUCUGGCUUCAUUCUAGGAGUGGGAGGCUGUGUGGUGUUGAGAUUUGACGGAAAUGAACACAGCAUUGACGAAACGAGGCUGAGCUAACACAGGUGGAGCUGUUUUCAUAUCAGCAGUUGACUGAAUUCCCAGACAAAAGGGCUCCAGUCUGAGGGUUGAGAACUGCACCGUUGCCCUCUGCCUGGGACUCAAGGACAUAAAGCAGAGGGAACGUGAUACGAACUGCUCAGUGUGUAAAAACCACCUGCCCUUCCUUUGACACUAUAACAGAUGCUGCUGUGACGUACUACCCAGAUUCCCCUUCAGGACUAGAAGACGUAUUUACCCAGCUGUCUGCUACUGGCAAACAGCCCUCAGCCCUCAGCUCUACUUAGAACUAUUGGAUGAAGAUAUUCACCUUGCCCAAGGGCACACCUCUUUGCAUAAACUACUGGCUUCUAACUACUGGAAGAUUCAAGGAGAUAAAGGCCAGGCAGGCUCUCUCUUACCUUAACUGUAGACAAUUGUGUUUAGAAGUCCAAACACUAUCCAUUGCACAAUACAGCAAGGUACUUGACUGUAGACAAUUUUGAAGGGCUAUUCCAGCUUCAGGAUUUCCUGAGGGGAUAGAUUGAAGCCUUCAAUUGGGACCACACAGAAGCCUCAAUUCUCCCUCCAUUCCUGCUCAACACAUUACUUCUCUUCCAGAAACAUCAUCCCAAGAGUACUAUCUUAGCAAAACCCUCCUCCCCCAUCUAAUCUCUGUCUCAGGGAAUCUUUUCUUUCAGGGAACCCAACCUAUAACACUUGUUAUUAGGAGUGGUCUGAGAGAGCAGACUCUAAGAAGUUUGGAGUUGGAUUACUCCCCUUGCUGGCAGUGAUCAGUAGCUGUAGGUGGAGCAUAGAUAACCCAUGGCCCAAGGAAGCACAGCAUUCGUAAAGCUUUCCCUGAUGGUGAACUAUUAUGUAACACUGGUGAAAGAAAAUGUGCAAGCUAGUGAGAUGUAUCAGGCAUUAAUAAAUAUGGGAGAAAUAACAGAAGGCCAGUGAAAUUGGGUGGCUAUUACUAAGUUCAACUGAUACUUUGGGAAAAGAUAAUAAAAGAUUGAGAAUGAUUAUUUGACUAUCAUUAAUGAGUGAUAGCCAGAGGGCUUCCUUGGUAGCUUAUAAAGCACUCUAGUCUUCAAUAGCCAGAGGCUGCAGAAGGCUAAAGACCAAGACCAGGACUUAAUUGUAAAAUUCACAGAGCACUAAAGAAUGUUUAAUUUUCAACUGAGGCAAGUAAUCUAGGGAAGAAUGGUUCUCUGACACAUGGAAUGAAAAUGGUUGGGUUGAUGAUCUCCAAAUAUCUUGGACCUCAGAUUCCUCUGAACUCUGAAAUAGCAGAAGGGGGCUAUUCUUCACUCUUCAAGAUGAGCACUGCCUCCUUAUUUAAAGGUGCUGAUGAGGCAUUUCUCUUGUAAGAAAUCUGUUUCUUCCUUAGAAUCUGUCCCCACUUCCUGGUCCCCAGGACGAUAAGGGUUAGGUUACAACAUAACCUGACUAGGGACAUUCUGAGUCUGAUAAAAGAGGAAAGGGACUGUACCCCCAAGGAACUGUAAAAUCUAUCUAAUAGGUACCAUCAGAAACUGGGAGAGUAUGCAGGAAACUAGUUUCUGAGCAUGCUGGAUGGGGUGGGGAUGGGAUAGUUGGAUAAGUUUACUGAUUUGAGAGUAUUUUCUCCAGGUGCAGGAUUUAACACUCUGGUAAGAACACACUGAGUGAUGUUGCAAACAUGCUGUGAGGUGGGCUCCUAGAAAUAUAGAAAAAGAAAUGGUCCACAGUGAGACAGAAAUGGCACAACCACCAUGGCAGAUAGUGGAAGGAGAGAUUAAAAGGAUCAGAGAAGUGGGCAAGUUACAGCGUACCGACUAUAUAAGAUGACUGUAUUCCAUGGGAGAGUCCAGAGAAUUUACCAUUUACCAAAGCAAUAGGAAUGUGUUGGUGAGAGGGCACCAUUAACACUAAAAAAAUUCAAUAGUGGCUCUUCCAUCUAGAUGAGGCUCAUGGUAGAAGGUGCUUACCAAACUGAGACGAGGCUAAGUGACAGUGCUUAACCAUCAGAGGCCAGGUAUUGAGUAGCAAGGUCAGAGUGCAUUCAGGGGGGGGUCUGCCCCACGAAAAUGAUAUACUUGACUAAUAAAACAUAGUAUUCCUAGGGACAAAAUAGAUGGGCAGCCAAGAGGGGUGCUACCUAAGCUGUUCAAAAUAAAUCAAGGGCAGAUGAUAAGGCAGCUGAGGGCAGUCACCUUAAUAAUUAGUCACAAUUUCUUGCCUACUUUUCUAGCCUGAGAAAUCUGACUGAAGGAGGUAUCAUUCCCAGGACGAAGGAUUCCACAGUAUUAUGACAAGUAUACAUGUAUAGUCUCAGGAGUCUUGAAUGGCUGGACUUUCUGCCAAAUGUCACACUGUUCCACUAGAGUGAAGACAUCAUGCUAAUCAGAUCAAUGAGCAAGAAAUUGUUGGACUUCUGGUGAGACACAUGCUCUCCAGAAGAGAGAGAGGCAGAUAACAAGCAGAGGGAGAAGCAGGCUCUCUGUGGGGAGACUGCAGAGACUCGAUCCCAGGACCCCAGGAUCACAACCUGAGCCAAAGGCUGACUACUCAACCACUGAGCCAUCCAGGCGUCCCGAUGGACAUGUUUUAAACCACUACAUCUUAGAAUCUGCUUUUCUUCUUGUCUUCUACUUGGAAAUUUUUAUUGGCGAGGACAUCUGAUAAAAGGUUCCAAGAUGACUUCCUGCAUUCAAAGGAAACUUAACUCUAUGCGUGGCGAUGCCCAUCUGCUUACCAGCAUGCCCAUCUACCUGACAGUAGACAUGGCUGAGGAGGCAUCAAAGAACCAGAGAAGAGCCCACACUCCUGCACUUAAACCAGUUAGUUCCUCUAGUCACUACAAAGACACAACACAUCCAGAUGCAUUCUUGAGGAAAUUGGCAUGGGAUUGGGGAACUUUUGAAAGAAGACAAAUGGCCCUGGUUAGGAAGUGUGUAUGCUAAAUUUGACUGAAUAUUCAUCCAAAAGAAAAUAAACAAUGCUGAAUGAAA
Molecule: RNA transcript, 3507 nt
Organism: Canis lupus familiaris (dog)
Lineage: Eukaryota; Metazoa; Chordata; Mammalia; Carnivora; Canidae
Gene name: eukaryotic translation initiation factor 1-like
Exons: 11
Source: RefSeq, a predicted model, not a curated record